CGUGCGCGGCUGCCAUGAGGGAGCGGACGCGGGAAAUGUGCCAGGCGGGAGCCCAGAAAAAUGGGGAAAAAAAGGCGCCACGGUGGAGUGAGGAAAAAGAGUUCAGGUCCUGAUGCAGCCAGGAUGGCAAAAGUGCUGAAUUGAAAUAGCGUGCACCGUGCCCCAGGUGACUGCAGAGGCAAGCCUGGCCGAUACGUGCUGCCGACGACCUCGGAGGGCUGCAACAGCGCUGACAAUAGAGGUAUGGAGAGGCAAGCAGCAUAUGAUUUAUUUACUGCAUUCUUGCAGAAAAGGCAGAUUAAAAACAUUGAUUUACAUAAAGAUCUGCCAAGGUUAUUAACAUAUAGGUAUGCUAAGGGGCUCUUUAUAAAUCCUCAUACAGUACAUAAGUUGUCUAAGUGGUGUAAGUUUAAAGAUAAACUAUAAGAAGACAUUUUAGAUUAUGAUAAGGCAGCCAAAAAGCUAAAAAAGUUGUAAAAGGUAGUUCACAAUGAGUUAUUACAACAUCAGGCAGAAAAAAAAGCUGCUGCACAAGCAACUUCACACUAGAGAAGAAUAAAAGUUAUAGCAGAGAAAAUUAAUUACCUAGUAUUUCCAUGCCACCUGCUGUGUCUACAGUGGAGUUACCUCCCUUGCGACCCGUGCCUGAGGACACGGAAACAGAGUCGUGUUGUGAGCCCACGGCUCCUCCAGCCCCCCCAAACAGAGAUCACCGGUUUGUCAGAGUUUGUCUGUCAGUAAAUCACCCCCUAAGGCAAAGUCUGACCUAACAAAGGCUCUGGCCAGAGAGCAAAAAGAAGUUUAGGCAACUCUAACAAAAG
Non-coding RNA from Lonchura striata (white-rumped munia), 821 nucleotides. Lineage: Eukaryota; Metazoa; Chordata; Aves; Passeriformes; Estrildidae. The record is from RefSeq and is a predicted model, not a curated record.